Bombus pyrosoma is the source of this 4820-nucleotide long non-coding RNA. RefSeq lists it as uncharacterized. The record is from RefSeq and is a predicted model, not a curated record. The transcript is spliced from 2 exons. Lineage: Eukaryota; Metazoa; Arthropoda; Insecta; Hymenoptera; Apidae.
UUCUUGCGUCGAUACUUCGCCGCGAAAUUAAAUGAUUCCAGGGUAUGGCUUUCUGGUUUUUCAGUCCCUCUUACUUCUGUGUUUUAUCUUUAAUCGUUUUACGAAUAUGUAAACAUUUCAGGACAUGCGAUUCAUAUUACAAGGGGUUUCGUACUAAGUACGUGUAAAGUGAAAGCUAUUCUCCAGAUAUUGAGAAAUCGUACGCAAUAUCGGCGAACAUAUCCACCGUAUGAUAAGUUGAAACCUGAAUUCCGUACAUCUUCUUCGUUUUCUGAAAAGUAAUAGAUGCUCGAAGAAUUACGAUACAAUCAGAAUUUUACGAAACCAGCUGAUAUUUCAGACGGUGGAUGUCUAAGCACGCUAAUUCAUAUUCUUAGGGACACAACGACAGAAAGUUUCUUUCGAAACGAAACGAUCCCUUUUCAUCGAUUAAACGUACCAAAUAUUAUAAUAAUGUGUAAUAACAACGAGAAUUCUUUACCUAUUUCACAUGCACCUUCUGUAUAUUUGCACACUUUUGAGUCUCCUAUGAAAGCAUAAGUAUCUAACAGUCUAUUUACCAGCAAAUUACUGGACAAUUUUCUCUCGGUAUCCUAGCCGCCAGCAUCAGAUUCCUCUUCCUCGGCGUUUUCUAAUCCGCUCAUGGGGGACAAACUUUCCCUCUCUUAUAUAACUGGACGUUGGACUGCGGGAAUCAAAACGGUGCGGCUCUUUUUGCGGUGACGUGUCCCGGGCACCUUGGAAGUAUAGUCGAAAAGAGUCGGGGCGAAAUGUUUUACGGCUGUGCCGUGACUUUUUGUCGUCGGCAUCGAUGAUUUCGGUGGGAGAGAACAACGAAGAAAGCACGAGUCCCUGAGAGCGUGGCAGCGCUAUAUCGGCCCCCAUUAAGCUCUUAUUAAUUGCGAGCAUCUGAGGGGCCGACCGACCUUUCUUGCGCGCUACCUGCGCGCCAUUCUGCCUCCGUUCCCUCUUGCCGGCCGCCGCAAACGAUGCUGCACUCUCGGCCUUCCAACUUUGAUGUCGAGUCGAUCCUCCUGCGACGAGAUUUAUCAUGUAAAUCGCGGAUAAAAAGCCCGCUCAUCCUCCCCUCUGCUGCAACCUACUGGUCACCGGGCAGGCGUUCUCCUCUUUUUUCUUCCGUGUUUUCGGCACCGUGCACGAUUCUAUCGGAUCGUGUAGCUGUGGAUCGAUCGGUUGCUCGCAAAGGGUGAAGAAACUCGGUUCGGAAUUGAGCAUUGCACGCGUGUUAUAAAGUUUGUUAGCACGAGAUCGGUGGAAUUCGACGCUGGCGUGGGAAACGAACGUGUAUGGCGGAGUUGUAACUACGCUAAACUACCAUAGCGUUAGAAAAAUAGAGAAUGAGCGUUUUUGCGAGGGAAGAAUGUAGAUUCUUCGGUCAUAGCGACUCUAUCCUUUCUACCCUUACAAUUUUAUCAACCCCUGCUUGAUAAACCUCCGAUAAUUCUGCCUUAAAUAACGACUACGGUUCUUACGACUAUGCAAGAGUUGCGUAAUUUAUCAAAAUUCUGGAAAAUCCGAAAGGAAAGAGGAAUCACGGAGGGAAGAAUAUUCACGUGACGCGAUUUGCCAGCACGUUGGAAGGCAAAUGCAAGGUACAGAGGCCGCUACGCGGAGUGCAGCUGCAGCACGCCGUGGAAGCACCACGCCCAUCGUGAUUGCAGAGACCACUCCCAUCUGUCUGCACGUCGUUGCAAGCAGCACGCCUUCCGUUUUACCUCGGUAGCCAGUCACGCGAUUUCAUGUAACACGUCCGUAACUUUUGAUACAACGUUCUACCACGCUCGAGAAUUUCCGUGUCUCCGACCGAGCUUUAUUUUUAUCGUGCGCCCUGACGUUCCCUCGAGGGAUGCGUUUGCUAGUCGCGAACGGUGUCGUCGCGUUGGUGAUGUCUUCCGUAAUGGGAAAUCCGAUUCCUCUUCGUGUUCUUCGGUUGCCUCGUUUUUUCUUAUUUUACCGAAUGUCUCGGAUAUUUGAUGCGGUUGAUAACACGUGACGUUAAUAUAGCAUUCGAUGGGGUUGAUAGUGAGUGAUACGAUUGUCAGUGUAAUUUAUGCUUAGAGCGAUUUAUGUGAUCAAAGAUAGUGUCGUUUCGUGUCACUUUUUCCGCUUGUUCGUUUUACAUCAAUUCGUUGAUUAUUGGUUUUAUUAGAUCCUCGAUUCUAUGUCUUUUUAAUUGUCUGACGCGCGUUCGCUUUGACAGUUCACACCGUGGCUGUCAAGCGACUUUGACGUUCCACUGUCAGCGACUGUCAAAUGCUGCCAACGAUAUUUUAAGACUAUUUUUCUGGAAUUGUAGCGUUGCAGUUACAUAUAUUUACAGAUGUUUAGCUUAUUUCGACCGAUCAGCUGCCGUUCGAUCAAAAUAAACCUCGCGUUGCUGGUAUAUUCUUUAAAACAAUUCCCAGUAUGAGAAAAUAUUUCGAUCGUCGACGUGGAAAAUUGUACGAUAUAAAAUGGAAGAAACGGGUGUUAACCUUCUCGAAGUUUCUUUCUUAUUUAACUCGUAUUCCACAUGAAUUUAAAACAAAAAUUUAUAAACGCAAGAUUCUUUGCUGUUUGUUUAUAAAAAUUAUUAUGCAAAGUAUUUACGCGAUACUUAUAGGGUUGUUUUAAAAUAUAAAGCAAGUGUUGAGGGUUUGUAGCGAAGGAGAGAGAGCGGUAUGCCAUGGUCAGGCUCCACGUAUGUUGAAUUCAAGCGAUGAAAAUCGAUACUAGAGCUUCGCUUUAGCAUUCUCAUCCCUCUCGCUGUCACGGAUUCGAUACGCCAUGGCUUCAACCCUCUUUCGGUAGCCAUUUUGGACAUUUCAGCUUGACGAUCACGUAUUAAAGAAAGCGAUCUCCUGCAAUGUAUUACUUUCGAAAGAAUUCUAAUACCAAAAGAAGCCGAAACUACUUAGCUUGAAACGUUACAAAUGUCUUCGAUAAUCUCUGAAACACGAGCCAUUUCGUGACGCAUAAUUUUCCAAACGUUUUUAAACCUCUUCUCCAACUUCUCCGAGAGAAAAUUAAUUUCCAAACGCGUGCUCCUCUUGAAAUUCACGAAAAAUUUCGUCGGUGCGUACGGGACAUUUCACGGAGAAAUCCUACGAAAAAUUUUGGCGUUGCUUUGGCCGAGAGACUGCCAGGGACGAACGGGCCGAGAUUUAGGGCCAAUUUAGGAAACGCUUACAUUCGCACGCGCGCGCCUCGCUGCAGGGGCGCAGAUUGAGAGUUGGUUCGCGGAUCGGACCGACCAAACGAGUUUUCAAGAAUUUACUCGCCGGAAUGCCGGCAACGCUCACUAUUCUAACUGGCGUGUGCUACCGUAAGGGCCCUGUGCACGCUCGCUGUUUCCAAGUAGCCGCGACCUCGUCGUCAAACAUCGAUUCUGGAAAUUAAUGAAUAAAUAAGGAAGGACUUGCUUGGCUGUGUCCGCUUUCUUCGCCACGAACGAAUAUCGAUUCCACGAUCGAAGGAGUCGGCCCGAAAAACCACAUCGACCAUCCAGCAGCCAGAUUUCGGGCCAUUUUGCCGAAGUAGGUCUCGAGUCUCAAGUGCAAGAUUCCAAAGACCUUUACUGGUUCUAGAAGCGAGCCACGGAGUCUCGUGGGUCGAACUAAUUCGCAACAUCCGGUGGGUGAAUCCGCGAAAAAGAGAGACACGAGCUCGAAAUCCGCGACCAACGAUCGGAAGAACAACGAAAACUGUCAGCGCUCGGACGAACGUAGCGACAAAAUGGCGAACAUGGGUGCGCUCGUGGAACGUCAUCGAGGAGGGACGAGCGUAGUUGUAAACGACGCAAACGUGAUAUUAGCGUGCUAGGAGAUGAUUCAUCCGCUGAUUUUCCGAGCUGAGACGAGAGCCGGCGGAUGAGAGGAACGAACUUUUGUUAUACGGCCGGACGAACGUACGCGAAGAAUCGUUCAGCCCGCAUCGAAAAAGUGUACAUAGUGUUACCUAAUUUACUUUAAGGAUCUACUAUUAGCGUACAAUUCAGAUAGUAUUAGAGGAGGAAUACUUUGCGCGCACUAUUACCUUCAUAGUGACUGAUGAUAUACCUAUGUCCGACCGACGCGAUCGCUGGAACAACAGAGCCUCUAGUUCGUAUAAAGUGUAGAGAAUUAGGCCACCGACAGGCGUGUCUAAAUUUUCCAAAUAAUUAGAAAAGAAGAAGAAGAAGAAGAAGAAGAAAAAGAAGAAGAAGAAAAAGGAUUCGAUAGAUCGUAACGAUACGAAACGAUCGUUGAUAGAAAAGAAUUCAAAGGGAGAGAUCUAUGUUCCUUGAAUAAUAUUAUCAACCUGUAGAAUGUAUCAUUUCCGUUGAAUAAAAUGAAUUGAUAGGAUUCGUUGAAUUUAUCACGAUGGUUAACUUAUUGAAGGAAGAUAGAAAUCGGAGAGGAAGAUCAAAGGAUUAAUUAUUUGGCGAAUUUGACUGCAGAUUUAAGUGAAAUAUUUAUUGACCAAUGAUCUUGCCAUAUAUAUAUAAUAAAUAUAUAUAUAUAUACAUUACUAUUAUUAUUGUAUCAUAACACCGGACGCUGCAGAAAUUCUGAAAUCUCUCCAAGUCAGCAAAUUAAAAAUAGUUAUUACCCGAAUUGUCACAAUUAUUCUUUACAUCCUUCCCCAUAGAAUUAAUAAAUCAUAUCGUGAACACGAAGAAACACACCCACACACACACACACAUACGCGCGCGCGCGCACACACACACGUUACAUGCACGCACGCACAACCGACAUUUUGCCUAGCGGAUUAUUCUACCUUAAGCGCAUCUCAUGUUAUCGUCAUCAUAGGUGUUAAAUAAAUGAUGCAUUAAUAUUACA